CAAGUCGCACGAGAAAGUGGAGCAUCCAUGAGUAAAGUGGCGUACGGGUGAGUAACACGUGGAUCAUCUACCCUUUAGUGGGGAAUAACCCUGGGAAACCGGGGCUAAUACUGCAUAAUCCUGAGAAGGGAAAGCAGCAAUGCGCUGAAGGAGGAGUCCGCGGCCGAUUAGCUAGUUGGUAGGGUAACGGCCUACCAAGGCAAUGAUCGGUAGCCGGCCUGAGAGGGCACACGGCCACACUGGCACUGAAACACGGGCCAGACUCCUACGGGAGGCAGCAGUGGGGAAUCUUGCACAAUGGAGGAAACUCUGAUGCAGCGACGCCGCGUGAGCGAUGAAGCCCUUCGGGGUGUAAAGCUCUUUCGACGGGAACGAUAAUGACGGUACCCGGAGAAGAAGCUGCGGCUAACUACGUGCCAGCAGCCGCGGUAAUACGUAGGCAGCAAGCGUUGUUCGGAAUUACUGGGCGUAAAGAGUGUGUAGGCGGUUCCCUAAGUUCGGUGUGAAAUCUCCCGGCUCAACUGGGAGGGUGCGCCGGAAACUGGGGGGCUUGAGUAUGGGAGAGGAAGGCGGAAUUCCUGGUGUAGCGGUGAAAUGCGUAGAUAUCAGGAGGAACACCUGCGGUGUAGACAGCUUUCUGGACCAUCACUGACGCUGAGACACGAAAGCGUGGGUAGCAAACAGGAUUAGAUACCCUGGUAGUCCACGCCCUAAACGAUGCAUACUUGGUGUGAGCCGU
RNAcentral lists this ribosomal RNA (739 nucleotides) under uncultured bacterium. Its description in RNAcentral is "bacterial SSU rRNA". It matches the Rfam family "Bacterial small subunit ribosomal RNA", at positions 58 to 830 of the family's 1533-position model. The record is from RNAcentral.